GACGAACCGUGCGAACGUUGUUCGGAAUCACUGGGCUUAAAGGGCGCGUAGGCGGCUUGCCAAGUCAGUGGUGAAAUCCUGCAGCUUAACUGCAGAAGUGCCUUUGAUACUGGCGAGCUCGAGGGAGGUAGGGGUAUGUGGAACUUCUGGUGAAGCGGUGAAAUGCGUUGAUAUCAGAAGGAACGCCGGUGGCGAAAGCGACGUACUGGACCUCUUCUGACGCUGAGGCGCGAAAGCUAGGGGAGCAAACGGG
This 253-nucleotide ribosomal RNA is filed under the name uncultured bacterium. RNAcentral's name for it is "partial 16S ribosomal RNA". It matches the Rfam family "Bacterial small subunit ribosomal RNA", at positions 524 to 776 of the family's 1533-position model. The record is from RNAcentral.